AACGAACGCUGGCGGCAUGCCUAACACAUGCAAGUCGAACGAGACCUUCGGGUCUAGUGGCGCACGGGUGCGUAACGCGUGGGAACCUGCCCUUAGGUUCGGAAUAACUCCCCGAAAGGGGUGCUAAUACCGGAUAAUGUCUUCGGACCAAAGAUUUAUCGCCUUUGGAUGGGCCCGCGUUGGAUUAGCUAGUUGGUAGGGUAAAAGCCUACCAAGGCGACGAUCCAUAGCUGGUCUGAGAGGAUGAUCAGCCACACUGGGACUGAGACACGGCCCAGACUCCUACGGGAGGCAGCAGUGGGGAAUAUUGGACAAUGGGCGAAAGCCUGACCCAGCAAUGCCGCGUGAAUGAUGAAGGCCUUAGGGUUGUAAAGCUCUUUUACCCGGGAUGAUAAUGACAGUACCGGGAGAAUAAGCUCCGGCUAACUCCGUG
This 433-nucleotide ribosomal RNA is filed under the name uncultured bacterium. RNAcentral's name for it is "partial 16S ribosomal RNA". It matches the Rfam family "Bacterial small subunit ribosomal RNA", at positions 29 to 507 of the family's 1533-position model. The record is from RNAcentral.